CCUACGGGAGGCAGCAGUGGGGAAUAUUGGGCAAUGGGCGCAAGCCUGACCCAGCAACGCCGCGUGAAGGAAGAAGGCUUUAGGGUUGUAAACUUCUUUUCUGAGGGGCGAAGAAAGUGACGGUACCUCAGGAAUAAGCCACGGCUAACUAAGUGCCAGCAGCCGCGGUAAUACGUAGGGGGCAAGUGUUAUCCGGAUUUCUUGGGUGUAAAGGGCGUGUAGGCGGGAAAGCAAGUCAGAUGUGAAAACUCAGGGCUCAACCCUGGGCCUGCCUUUGAAACUGUUGUUCUUGAGUGCUGGAGAGGCAAUCGGAAUGCCGUGUGUAGCGGUGAAAUGCGUAGAUAUACGGAGGAACACCAGUGGCGAAGGCGGAUUGCUGGACAGUAACUGACGCUGAGGCGCGAAAGCGUGGGGAGCAAACAGGAUUAGAUACCCCGGUAGUC
This 443-nucleotide ribosomal RNA is filed under the name uncultured bacterium. RNAcentral describes it as "partial 16S ribosomal RNA". It matches the Rfam family "Bacterial small subunit ribosomal RNA", at positions 338 to 795 of the family's 1533-position model. The record is from RNAcentral.